UUCAGAUUAUAAUGGAUUUGUUCCACUCGACGACUCCAGCUGUAAAACCCCAUUAAAAAGAAAAGAAAAGAAAUAAAAUAAAAACACCCCAUUUUUUACGCUCAUGCGCAUCCAACCGUUGAUUUAUCACUACCUACUCAUAUUUGAACCGUAGAUGAUCCCACAGCCUACGAUAAAUAUCCCUGCAGCUCCGCGUCAGAGGUGUAUCUUCGUUGUUUCCUCCAAGCCGCUACUUCCUUUUGCAUCUUUUUUGUAGGUUUUGAUCGUGAGUUAGUCUUUCGAUUUGGUUAUGGGUAUUCAGCGUUUGGCUUCUCCCUUUGUUCUAUGCUGCUUGCUUUUCCUUUCGGCUGAACGUCGGUGGAUUUUCAGCCUCGGUUACCAAUCGAUGAAGAUUGGAUUAAUUUGCAGCUGAUCUAACCGUUUGAAUUUCCGAUUGGCUAUGUUUUGUUCGAUUCUCUACAUAGAUGUAGCUUGGAUAGAUCUAUUACAGUAUUAAGCUGAUUUCGUAGAUCCGCGCAUGGUUUCCAUCUCAUCCAUGCUCAGGCCACGGGUGGCUUCCAGAUCUGAAGAUCUCUUGGAUGUUAUUCAUCGUCUCAAAAACUGGUAAAACUUCAUGGGUUAAACAACAAAAAGAGUUCGCUAUUGUAUAAUGAAAUUGUUGGUAGUAUUGUCGUGGUAUGUAAAAAAAUGAGUGGAGUGAUGUGUGCGACACUGAGAAAAAAAGAGCGAGAUUGAGGUGAGGUGAGCUGAUCGACCUUUACCAUGUUGGGUGCGCUCGCAUGGUAGGUCACCACAUAAUAAAAGUUCGUUUUUGUUUUUCGAGGGGAGAUGGUACGGUGAUUUAUCCGGCUCUCCCCUCUUGUGUGCGGUGUCCUUUGUUCGUUUUCGUUUUUCCUUAUUCCUGUCGCCAACAUCUAGUUCAGCAGCAAACAGUUUGGGUUUUGAAUGGGCACUUUUCGAGCCAUUCAUUCAAGAUCCAAACAUGAUUCUAAUCGACGCAAAUGAACUUCCCCGAGGGGCUGGGGACGAUGAACGCACCUAAGGUACAAGUUAGCACUCUAUAACAUCUCUAUGCUAAUAUUCCACUAAUUUUCUCUUUAAUUUACCCAGUAAUUUGGCAAUAUUAUUUUUAAACCUAAGGUACAAUUAGAUAUGGCAUCUCUAUGUUACUAACAUUCCAUCAAUCUUGUCUUCAAUUUAUUCAUCGCCCAUGAACUUGUCUUGUUAAAAUUAUUCAAUCAGAGUUGAGCUGAUUAACAUUCUUGAUAUUUAAUCUCACCCGAGGGCAUUUAAUUUCCAAAUUCUAUUCAAGUUUUAUUUGGAUUCCACCACACCCACGCACUUGAAAGCAUGACAGCUCGUGCACUACAACAAUAAGCACAACACCCACAAAAAUCAUAGCACUACAUGCUCAUGCUUGCAGUACCUUCUGGCACUCUAUAUCUUAAUUAUUAACCAUUAAAGAUCUUUUUUUCUUCACUGGUCCUAGCUUAGUUUUAAUGGUAUGUUUCAUGUUUUAUAAGCGGCUGUCUGGUUUAUCUACAAGGUUAUCUGUUUUGAACAGUAUGGUUUGGCUCUUCUUUAGCUUUUAUGUUUUAUUCAAUUAUGUCAGUAGUUGUGUUGACCUGUUGGUUUACCUUUGUAGUUUUGUAUUUUAGAGCAUCUUACUCUGAGUCAAUGUAGAUGUUGUUGUAGGGCUUGUGUUAUGAAGGCACCGCUUUGUACUUUUGUAAUGUAUUAGCUAUCUGGUUGUGAACCAUAUUGCUUUCAAGGUGCCUGCUGUUUGUUAGAGAUAGUGAAGCGGAUGAAGUUGAAGUGGUUGGGUUUGUUUUUCCCCAAGCAAGAUUAUUAAUGCUGUGCUGGUGGUGCUGAGGUGCCUUUGUUAGUGUUGAGUCUUUGGCCAAUGCAGUUUGCAGACUUGUGUUACAGCCUACAGGGCAGCUGCUGAGCAUGCUUGUGCUACAAAGUUGUUUCCUGAACUAUGGAACACAUCAAUGUUUACUGGUUGUGCGUUCCAGAUGAUGAAGAUGCGCCGAUUAUGUGUUGUCCAGAUCAUGAAGAUGUGUUGACGGUUGCUCUAGACUGUGAGAUUGUUUGGAAACUCGAGUUUUUAUUGAUUUCUUAACUUAGCCAUGUGUCAUUUAGUUGAACAAAAAUCUUUUCAACAGCUCGGAUGGCAUUUAAGUUUUCCUCUUGUUGACUAGCUGAGAAUCUAAUGUUUUCAGGCAAUUUUGUUCCUCGUCCUGAAACACAGUUCAGCUGGAAACCUAAUGUGAAUGAUGAUGAUGGUUUGAGGGAAUACCGCAAUCCGCUCGGUGGUAUCUUCUCCGUUGGUAUUUUGUUAAAUGAAUCCAGUAUUUUAAGAUUUUUCCUCA
Molecule: long non-coding RNA, 2375 nt
Organism: Salvia miltiorrhiza (redroot sage)
Lineage: Eukaryota; Viridiplantae; Streptophyta; Magnoliopsida; Lamiales; Lamiaceae
Exons: 2
Source: RefSeq, a predicted model, not a curated record